This is a long non-coding RNA of Rhipicephalus microplus (southern cattle tick), 347 nucleotides long. NCBI's taxonomy places the organism in Eukaryota, Metazoa, Arthropoda, Arachnida, Ixodida, Ixodidae. The record is from RefSeq and is a predicted model, not a curated record.
GUCGACUCAAACGUCUGUCGAACGAGGCGUCUGUCGAUUGCUUCGUUUAUAGCAGUUUGAGAUCAAGUAAACUCGUUCGAUCUGUUACAUGGGGACAAUGAGGCUGACUGCCAUUCUGCUCGUCUUUGCAAUCUUCGGAUUUUUGGUGUCAGAUGUCGUUGCUCGGCCGGGCAUUGAUGAUCAGCCACCUCCAUCGGCUUCAGAGGAAAGUCGCACGUAUAACGCCAACAGAGCAGAACAUGCGGAAGGCCGUCUUGCCAUAACAUGUGUGAACAAUGUCUGCACGGGAAGCGUGCGCAAGUAACCGACGCUGGAGAAGCCCGGUUCAAAGCUUCAAAACACCAGCG